UAGCUAUUCUAAGAUGUGCAAUGGUAUUUCAUUGUGGUUUUAAUUUUCAUUUCCUGGUGACUAAUGAUGUUGAGCCACCUUUUUACAUACCUAUGUGAUGCAUGAAUGUUUUUUUUUAUGAUGUAUUCUUUUAAAUAUUUUCUCCAUUUUAAUUGGGUUGUUUUUCUUAUUAUUGAGUUUGUUUAUAUAUUCUAGGUAUAAGUGCUCUUUCUCUCACACACACAUAUAACAUAAAUUCUGUGGCUUGUUUUUUGAUCUCUCAACAGUGUUUGUCAAAGAGCAGAUGUUUUUUAAUCUUGGUGUGACUAUUGAUUUUUUUUAAUAGAUGUUAUUUUUAAGAAUAGAUUUAUGUUCACAGCAAAGUUGAGUAGAAAUUAGAUUUCCUAUAUACUCAUGGCACCCCACCCCCUAAAUCUUCCCCACUAUCAACAUCCUGCAACAGAGUUACAUUCUGUGAACCUACAUUGACACAUCAUUGUCACCCACAGACUAGUUUACAUUAGAACUCACUCUCGGUGUUUUACAUUCUAUGGGUUUUGACAAGUGGAUAAUGGCAUGCAUUCAACAUUAUGGUAUCAUAUGGCAUAGUUUUACUGCCCUAAACAUCCAAUGUGCUCCAUUUAGUCAUCCUUCCCUGCCCCCAACUCUAGCAACCACUGAUCUUUUUACUGUCUCCAUAGUUUUGCCUUUUUUAGAAUGUCAUAUUGCUAGAAUCAUACAGUAUGUAGUCCUUUCAGAUCAACUUCUCUCACUUAGUAAUAUGAAUUUGUUUCCUCCAUGUAUUUUCAUGGUUAGAUAGCUCAUUUCUUUUUAGUACUGAAAAAAAUUCCAUUGUCUGGAUGUACCACAGUUUAUUUGUCCAUUCAUCGUUGAGGGACAACUUGGUGGCUUCCAAGUUUUGGCAAUUAUGGAUAAAACUGUUGUAAACAUUCAUAUGCAGGCUUUUGUGUGUACAUGUUUUUGACUCAUUUGGGUAAAUACCAUGGAAUGAUUGCUGGAUCAUAUGUUAAGAGUAUGUUUAGUUUUAUAAGAAAUUGCCAAACUGUCUUCCACCACCAGCAGUGAUGAGAAUUCCAGUUGCUUCAUAUUUUUGCCAGCAUUUGGUGGUGUCAGUGUUUGGAUUUUUGCAAUUCUAAUAGGUGUGUAGUAGUAUUUCAUUGUUAGUUUUCAAUUCCCUAAUGAUACAUGAUGUUGAACAUCUUUGCAUAUGCUUAUUUUCUAUCAGUAUAUAUGUUUUUGGUGAAGUGUCUGUUCAAAUUUUUAACCCAUUUUUUUAAUCAGGCUGUUUGUUUUCUUAUUGUUGAGUCUUAAGACUAUUUUUCAUAUUUCAAGUAGAAUUACCAUAGAUUUUUGUGGUAUUUGUCCUUAUGUCCUCUGACUCUACUAAACUUAUUUAUUAAUCCUACCAAUUUUGUUUGAUUGCUUUUUUUUUCUUUUAGCUCCUUUGGGAUAUUCUUCCUUGUGUGUAUUGAUCUGUUUCAUGAUGUCUCUUAAGUUCCUUAAGCUUUCUUUAUUCUUUUUCAUGUUUUUGUUUUUGUUUUUGCAGCUCUGAUGGAAUAGAUCAGUGAUCCAUUUUCAAAUUCAUUGAUUCUUUCUUCUGGUUGUUCUAGUCUUUUAUUGAGACCCUCUAGUGAAUUUUCCAGUUCGAUUAUAGUGUUCUUUAGUGCCAUGAUUUCUGUUUGGUACUAUUUGAUAUUUGUUUGUCUUCGUUGAAAUUCUUGCAUUGUUCAUGCACUUUUCUGUUGAAUUCAAAGAGCAUCUUUAAGGCAGUUAUUUUGAAUUUUUAUUUUAGGUAAAUUAUGUAACUUUAUUUCAUUAGGGUCAGUUUCUUGAGAUUUAUCUUAUUCCCAUGUUUGCAACAUCAUUGCCUGAUUUUUAAUUUUCCUUGAUACUCUGUGCUGGUGUCUUUAUAUUUGACAAAGUAGGCACCUCUCCCAGGUCUUAUGUAUGAACUUCGUGCAGGUGAAGAUCCCUGCCAGUCAGUUUGGGCAGAGAUUCUGGGAGCUUCUACCAAAUCUUUCGUUCUUGAGGAGAAGCAGGCAGCUGUGGUUUUUAUCUGCUUGCUCUGCAGUGCUCUGGGGUGUCGGGAGAGCUAGGGUGUUUGCUUGUCCAAACUGUCAUCUCUCUCCUCUCCCAGGUGACUAGACUGAGCCAGACACCUCAGAGCUCCAAGACUCGCAAGACAGAUGCCAAUUCUUUAGGUAGCUUCAGAGUGGUUGGGAUGCUGGAUGCACGGAUCAACUCCUUCCCUCAAGAUGAAAGCUGGUAUUUUUUGUCUGAGCAGCCUCGCUUUUAUAAAUGGCCACCAGAAGCUAACAUCUCCAGGAACAAGAGCUGCACGUAUGGGCUGUGACCCAGCCUUCCUCCCCACGUCAGGGCAACUCCCCGCAGCCGGCGCCACGUCUUCAGGAGCUCCACCUUGCGAUGAGACACAAACACACCGCAGCUAGACUGCUGCAAGGCAGGUCCAGGAAUGCAAGGGUACUUUCUCUCUUUAUCUGUAACCUGCUCUGUCUAAAGCAGAAGAUUUAUAAGACCCCCCACCCCACGUCUUCAUGAAGAGUCUACCAACACAGGAAAUAAUAAAGAUGAACAAUAAGAGAACGAGAGAGAGCCACAUACAUAUGCACCCUGUGAAAACAAAUUACAUUCUGUUCACAUAAACUCUUCAGCAGCUGAUAACAGCAAUGUCCAGAUUUCUUGAAAACAGGAUGAAACUGCCAGGACCCCUUCUAGAAGGUCAUCAUUUAUGGAAUAACCACAAAUGCGAUCAAUCAAGUCAUUCCAAUGGAGCAAUAGCCAGUAUGACCUCAACAGACUUCGGCUUUUGGAGCCAGAUCGCUUUAGUGACAGACAUAACCCUGGUGGGUCGGCAGCAUCCUUCACUGCUCACUCUGCCAUCUGCCACUGUGGAAACUUCAUCAUUAAAGGCAGAGUUGUGCUGGACAAAUUUGCAAAUGGUUUUGAGAGCAUUAUUAUUGCACAGAAUGUUACCAUCUGUAAGUAGGCAAAUCUGAAUUAAACAAUGUAUGUCUACCUAACUUUCUUUCUCUGUGUAUAUCUUAAUAGAAAAUGUGCAUGCAUUAAUCUCAAAAUUGGAACAGUUCAAAAAGGAACAUUUCCUUUGUAUGAUGGAAUUAGAGCCUUGCAAAGGACCUUGAGAGCUUAACUUCUGACUUUUAAAUACAUCUGCAUUUAAACUACGACAGAUCAAAGAAUAUCUAUGUUAUUUUGCCUGUCCUUCUUCACAAAGUAUUUUUAAUUGUCUGAUUUAACUCACAUUUUCUAUUGCAUUAUCAUAUUAUUAUCAAAUAUUCCCAUUUCCAUAUAUAUGUAUGUAUGCUUUUUAAAAAAAUAUUUCAACUGUAUCUUUGAGAUAGCACCAGCUACCCUCUUGCAACUUUCAAUGCCAUGAAAUAAAUUAUAGAGAUUAUAAAGACAAAUUAAUGAAAACCUUUAAACCAGAAUUUUCAAUUCAUAAGCCAGGACUGUUUUAUACAUAUGAUAUGUAUGAGAUAUAUAUUAAGUAUGUAUAUAUUUAUAUAUAUUCAUAUUCUUUAGGUCCUACUACAUAGGAUUAAGAUUAAUAUAAUUGUUAUUGUAUAAGUAUAAUAAUAUAGUAUUUUAUAUUAUGUUGUUAUAUUAUUAUUAUUAUAUUUUUAUAAUUGUCAGUGUACAGACGAGGUAACCAAGGGCAACUUGCUGCUCAGGACCAACAGUUUGUAAGCUAUAGAUUAGAGAUUUUUAACUCAGCCUAUCUGGGUCUAGAAUCUGUUAUCACCUGAUCAGAGUCUGGAUCUCUAGAGUUUAAAAAGAUGUUCAUAGAUGCUCUGUGGUAAUGAUGGAAGUAGAAGAAGGUGUUCUAUGGACACAAAAAGUAAAGAAUGGCAUUAUAGAAUUUUCUGUACCAAGUGUUAGUGCUCAAAUGUACUGCCCCAAUACACUCACUUUUCACUGUUGAAUUUUAAAGACAGAAGGAAAAUAUCAAAGAGACACAAAGUACCUAAU
This is a long non-coding RNA of Mirounga angustirostris (Northern elephant seal), 4008 nucleotides long. RefSeq lists it as uncharacterized. Lineage: Eukaryota; Metazoa; Chordata; Mammalia; Carnivora; Phocidae. The transcript has 4 exons. The record is from RefSeq and is a predicted model, not a curated record.